Athene cunicularia (burrowing owl) is the source of this 407-nucleotide long non-coding RNA. RefSeq lists it as uncharacterized. The transcript has 4 exons. The record is from RefSeq and is a predicted model, not a curated record. Lineage: Eukaryota; Metazoa; Chordata; Aves; Strigiformes; Strigidae.
GAAGAAAUAAGAAGCACGACAAAUCUUAAGAGUAACUUUGAUCUUCCAGGAUUUGCAGUUCACCUUCUGGACUAAAGUGCUUGAAGAAGUUUGGCUAAUGCUUUAUGUACCACAUGGUACCAAAUUACUGCAGCAGAGAUUGGGAAACUUCUCUUUAGCGGGUCUGGUUUAUGGUUAUGCUAAAAAUAGAGGUGAAAUGUGUAACUCAUUUCAAGAACAAUUUCUUCACUGAGAUCACAGGAUCAUUUAAAGCUGUCCAAACACUUAGGUUUGAAGUGGUUCACCACACCGUGGUCACAACUCCAGAAGUGUUGGAUGAUCAUCAGACAUCACUCCUGCCUAGCAAAGAAAUGCAAACAUCCUUACCAUCAAGAAGGCUAGGUGGGGUAGUACUGAAGGUAGGUUGU